AUGCGGUACCUCCGAGUUCAUCAGUUAGUAGGUGGCUAGUUUCUGGACAAGUGAGUCCCUGCACACUUCUCUGACUAGCUGACAUUGGAAAUGUGUCACAUUAAAACAGCACCAGAGUUAGUAUGACAUUUGUCUACUUCUAGAAUCUAAUCUCUUCAUAACGGCACUGAUUCGAGAUUAAUAGAAGGAAGCAAGAAAGAAGGGAGACUGGUAUCGAUUAAGAGUCUCUUGAGGCGUCCCACCUCCUUGUGUUUGGCAAACGGGUGCUCUUCCUUACAGCCUUGAUUGUAAAUCUGAGCCAACUUCUUGAAAUUAUUUUAAUGCUAAGGACGAAGAAUAGGGAAUGGACAGUUUCACGUUGGACCAUUAAGCCCAACUAACAAGAUCUCAGUUAGCUCUGAUUGAGUACUAACUAAUAGCCAAGAGACUUGUGUGCUGUCACGCUCCCAAUACAUGUUUGCUUCUUUCCGGAACCUUAAACAAAAGUAGCUAUGAAAUCAAACUGAGCUUGAGCAGACGAAAGACUAAACUUAAAAGGAAUUUCAAACAUCGAGCAAUUCCUUACGUCAGCACCGUUUGAGACUUUUUCACCAUACGCCACUAGUCCUGCAUAUAUGCGUAAGUAAUUACUGACCAAGAAUAUAUCUAAGCUAGACUAAACUUUUGUGUGACGUAGUAUGAAAUUCUAAUACUUUAUAAUGUUUUGCGUAAAUUUACAGAAUACAAAGUCAAGGUUUGUUGCUAUAUUUAAAAUUGAAAGUAUUUACAUUACGAAUAACGGAAAUCUAUAUUAGAACAUAA
Molecule: long non-coding RNA, 801 nt
Organism: Limulus polyphemus (Atlantic horseshoe crab)
Lineage: Eukaryota; Metazoa; Arthropoda; Merostomata; Xiphosura; Limulidae
Exons: 3
Source: RefSeq, a predicted model, not a curated record